This is a long non-coding RNA of Oncorhynchus kisutch (coho salmon), 4638 nucleotides long. Lineage: Eukaryota; Metazoa; Chordata; Actinopteri; Salmoniformes; Salmonidae. The record is from Ensembl.
AUGGAUGUCCAGUUGUCCAUCAGCUUCCUGAGGGACAGACUGGGCGGGGCCAUUGACGAGGCAGUGCGUACAGCAGUGGAGUCUGUGCUGUGUGAGACUGUGCGUCUGUUAACCGGGCUCCAAGGGGACCAGCAGCAUGGACUUUCCUCAGUGACCCAGAGGGACCAGGACACCCUGGGACUGAAGCAGAGGUUUGAGGCCCCCGGCGGGGGUGACUGGAGGGUGCAGGCUGGGUCUUCAGGGGCGUUCUGUAACACAGGACCGAGGGUUAGUGGUGGGCGCUGCAACACUAAGAAUCCAAUGGGUCAAACCACUUGCUCAACCUCCCAAGCAUCACAAAGGACCACCGUGGAGCCCCAUCUCCAGGAGGUGGUGGAGGACUGUGCUGGAUUGCCUGACCCGUUUGACCUUGUGUCGGCUGGGCCAGUGAUGGUGGACUAUGAGGAGGGUCAGGGCAUGGGGAUCCCAGAGGAGUGGGAACUGAUGAACAGAGUGUACAAGACGGAGCACAAUGAAGACAUGGCCCUUAUUGAUGUGGGCGGUACCACUCAAUUUGCAGAUGACCACAGGCUGCAUGAAGGAGACCAGAGGACUGUGGCUGUGCCCCUGGAGGGAGAGAUGGCUGCCAAGCCCCAGGACGCAUUGCACCCCUGCUUCAGCCCAGCCAACAUCAAAACAGAGCGACCUGAGAUAGAGAGAUGCUGCAUGGCUGAGGAGGCCCUUGCUCUGCCUCUGGCUCAUCCUGCCAAUAGUGGUGUGGAGGCCGGUGAGUUUGGGCAGGAGCAGGUGGAGGCUGGUCCACAGGACUUUGUAGGUCGCCUGCGCCUGUGGCUGGAGCAGCUGUGUCCUGAGGUGGUCCGGGAGUACGAGAGGGAGGGCUGUCUGUGUGAGCUGUCCCGCAGGAAGCUUAUCAAGUUCUCUGUGUCCUUCAUCGUGGAGGAGUUUGGAUUCUACCCUACCUCUGCUCAGAAGACCAUGCUGGCAGAGCACAUAGUGGAGCUCUUCCCAGGACUCAGGCUCUGUGCACCCUCUGCUGGCAUCAACGGCAUAGAACACUUGUACGACCCUUUGUCCCGUACGGGUUACAUUGAGACGCGCCUGCGCAACUCUCGACGCACCCUUGAAGACCACAAGAAGAAGUAUGUGCUGAAGAGGCGUCGGCCAGAGCCAGGCUUGGCGGACCCUCCUGUACCUAGAUUGGGGUCUGGGCUCCUGGAGAGACAGUCCAGUGAGGAGACCCAGAGGUGGAUGGAGCUGAUGAAGAGAACCAGGCCCCUGACCAGGAACCUGCCUGCCAUCCACAGUGCUAUGGACCUCACAUUCAACGCACGCAGGAGGUGGAUCAGCAACACACGGCCUAGUAUGAGGGCUGUGUUGGCCGAGUACCCACGUUUUCUUGACGUUCCCACCACGAUUGACCUGGAGUUUGAGAGGAUGUUCCCAGGCAAAGGCCACUCCUUCCUGGCCCAGUGGUCGUCGUUCGUGUUGCCCAGGCUGUACCAGAUUGCAGAGUGUGAAAAACACCCGGACAUCUCUGCACUUCUCCAACUGGCUGCCACACAGCAAGGAGACUCCUACACCAUGACUAUGCUGAAAGUCCUGAUCUAUGUACUACCACCAACAAACACCAGUAGAGCCUCCUUACCCUCCAGGAGCAGUGUCAGGCAGGCCAUUCGGUAUCUGGUGGACAUUGUACCGAUAGACACCAUGGUGUCCUCCUUAUUCUGUGACCUUACCUCCUUGGAGGGCCCAGAGUCAGUGUCCCACGCUCAGCCCUACAUAUUGAGCGUGGGGCCCCUGGAGGCCCCUGGCCGGCAGCUUUGCAUCGUGUUCCCUGUUGAUAGGAUUGCAAUCCCCCUGCCUCAGGAGGGCCUGAGCAAUGCACUGGACAAGCUUUUCAAGCUUCUGCGUGUGUUUGAACUGGGGUACCCAGAUCAGCUAUCCUCCCUGUAUGGCUUCCUUGAGCACCUGUAUGGGCUGGAGAUGACCCCACAAGAUAACCAUGACUCCCCCAGUGGCAAGGGGUCAAAAGUGCUUGAACUUUUAUCACGGCUCCACAUGCCCUCCUGACAGAAGGCAUAGGUCUAUACAAGAAUUGAACUCGUCUCAGACUUACCUUUUAUUUUUUAAAUAUUUUAUUAUAGCCGUCCUUUACAGAACACCUCCUUUACUAUGUUCUGGAUUUGCCCCAAAAUUAAAGUAUGUCAGACUGAACUGAGCAAUGCUGAUGGAUACUGGUGUUAUACCUUCAUUAUACAGUACCAGUCAAAGGUUUGGACACACCUACUCACUCAAGGGUUUUUCUUUAUUUUUAAUAUGUUCUACAUUGUAGAAUAAUAGUGAAUACAUCAAAACUAUGAAAUAACACAUAUGGCAUCAUGUAGUAACCAAAAAAGUGUAAAACAAAUAAAAAUAUAUUUUAGAUUCUUCAAGGUUGCUACCCUUUGCCUUGACAGCUUUGCACACUCUUGGCAUUCUCUCAACCAGCUUCAUGAGGUAGCCACCUGGAAUGCAUUUCAAUUAACAUGUGUGCCUUGUUAAUUGGUGGAAUUUCUUUCCUUAAUGCUUUUGAGACAUUUCUUUCCUUAAUGUAUUUGAGCCAAUCAGUUGGGUUGUAGGGGUGGUAUACAGAAGAUGUACCUACUUGGUAAAAUACCAAGUCCUUAUUAUGGUCCAUCAUUACUUUAAGAAAUGAAGGUAGGUCAAUCUGGAAAAUUUCGAAAACUUUUAAAAUGACUUCAAGUGCAGUCCAUUAAGCGCUAUGAUGAAACUGGCUCUCAUGAGGACCGCCACAGGAAAGGAAGACCCAGAGUUACCUCUGCUGCAGAGGAUAAGUUCAUUAGAGUUACCAGCUUCAGAAAUUGCAGCCCAAAUAAAUGCUUCAGAGUUCAAGUAAACAGACACAUCUCAACAUCAACUGUUCAGGGGAGACUGUGUGAAUCAGGCCUUCAUGGUCAAAUUGUUGCAAAGAAACCAGUACUAAAGGACACCAAUAAGGAGAAGAGACUUGCUUGGGCCAAGAAACACGAGCAAAGGACAUUAGACCGGUGGAAUUCUGAGUCCGAAGUUGAGAUUUUCGUUCCAACCGCCGUGUCUUUGUGAGACGCAGAGUAGGUGAAAGGAUGAUCUCUGCAUGUGUGGUUCCCACUGUGAAACAUGGAGGUGGUGUGGGGGUGCUUUGCUGGUGACACUGUCUGUGAUUUAUUUAGAAUUCAAGGCACACUUAACCAGCAUGGCUACCACAGCAUUCUGCAGCGAUACGCCAUCCCAUCUGGUUUGCGCUUUGUGGGACAUCAUUUGUUUUUCAACAGGCACAACACACCUCCAGUGUUAUUUGACCAAGAAGGGGAGAGAUGUAGUGCUGCAUCAGAUGAACUGGCCUCCACAAUCACCCGACUUCAAUCCAAUUGAGAUGGUUUGGGAUGAAUUUGACCACAGAGUGAAGGAAAAGCAGCCAACAAGUGCUCAGCAUAUUUGGGAACUCCUUCAAGACUGUUAGAAAAGCUUUCCUCAUGAAGCUGGUUGAGAGAAUGCCAAGAGUGUGCAAAGGGUGGCUACUUUGAAGAAUGUCAAAUAAACAAAUCAAAAAUUUGUUAAAAUCUUGGUUUUUCUUGGUUACUACAUGAUUCCAUAUGUGUUAUUUCAUAGUUUUGAAGUCUUCACCAUUAUUCUACAAUGUAGAAAAUAGUAAAAAGAAAGUCAACCCCUUGAGUGAGUAGGUGUUUCCAAACAUUUGACUGGUACUGUAUAUUCACUGAGCUUCUCAUUGACAAUGCAAAUACUUGCAUAAAACUAACAUCUUGUAUGAAUUUUCUGUGGGGGGAAAUGAUACUGUAUGUUGUACUUUAGGAUACCUUUUCAGUUUUUGCUCAAUUGCUUUAGAAUUUAACUUGCUCAUGAUACUGUUGUGGUUUUUAAUUAAAAAAAAGAAUUGAAUAUGUGAAAAACUGGUGAGGUAUGUAAUGGUAUCAUUUUCUGUCCUGUCAACACAUUUAAGUAAUGCAUGACUAAGUGAUAUGUUCUUUGUAUAGUCUAUGUUCAAUCGGUGGCAGCAGUCUAAUAUGGCCUCGGUUGAACCUGCCUAUGGGCCAUCACUUCACCAGGUGAAGCCAGUGAGGGAGGAGUGCCCAACAAUCUGCGCCACUCCCUUAUGUCGUCAAUAAGGCAGCAUGAUCCAUCGUUCAGAAACAUCUCUUUUCUCAAACUAGUUUCAUGUAGAAGGCAGAUACGUUGUCAAAAGCAGACACUUUUGCAAUUGAAAACAGAAUCCUACUCAUUACUCCACGUGCUGACCUACGUCACUUUUGCAAUUGAAAACAGAAUCCUACUCAUUACUCCACGUGCUGACCUACGUCACUUUUGCAAUUGAAAACAGAAUCCUACUCAUUACUCCACGUGCUGACCUACGUCACUUUUGUUUUGAGACUAUUUAUAUUGAACAGACAUAUAAACGCAACAUGUAAAGUGUUGGUUUCAUGAGCUGAAUUUUUUCAUAUGCACAAAAAGCUAAACAAAUUUGUUUUACAUCCCUGUUAGUGAACAUCUGGCUUCUUCACCUGUGGGGUCGUCUGAGACCAGCCACCUGGACAACUGAUGAAACAGGAGUAUUUGUGUCUGUAAUAAAGCCCUUUUGUGGGG